GUAGGUGGCAAGCGUUGUCCGGAAUUAUUGGGCGUAAAGCGCGCGCAGGCGGUUCUUUAAGUCUGAUGUGAAAGCCCACGGGCUCAACCGUGGAGGGUCAUUGGAAACUGGAGAACUUGAGUACAGAAGAGGAAAGCGGAAUUCCACGUGUAGCGGUGAAAUGCGUAGAGAUGUGGAGGAACACCAGUGGCGAAGGCGGCUUUCUGGUCUGUAACUGACGCUGAGGCGCGAAAGCGUGGGGAGCAAACAGGAUUAGAUACCCUGGUAGUCCACGCCGUAAACGAUGAGUGCUAAGUGUUAGGGGGCUUCCGCCCCUUAGUGCUGCAGCUAACGCAUUAAGCACUCCGCCUGGGGGAGUACGGCCGCAAAGGCUG
RNAcentral lists this ribosomal RNA (374 nucleotides) under uncultured organism. Its description in RNAcentral is "partial 16S ribosomal RNA". It matches the Rfam family "Bacterial small subunit ribosomal RNA", at positions 527 to 896 of the family's 1533-position model. The record is from RNAcentral.